AUAUGUUUCAGUCCUACCCUCCCCUCCUGAAAGAGUCAUUUUAAUGUCUGAGUUCUUGGUGCGUAUUGAAAUCUCUUGAUCUCAGGUGAACCUGGUACAAUGUAAUUUUUUAUUUGUUUUGUUUAGCAUUUCUUUCUUUUCUUUGUUUUUGUUGUUGUUGUUGUUGUUGUUGUUUGAGGUUUUGUUUGUUUGUUUGUUUUUGCUUUUUAGGGCCACACCUGUGGCAUAUGGAAGUUCCCAGGCUAGGGGUCAAGUAGGAGCUACAGCUGCUGGCCUACACCACAGCCACCCACACAAUGUGGGAUCCGAGCCACAUCUGUGACCUGCACCACAGCUCAUGGGAAUGCUGGAUCCUUAACCCACUGAGAAAGGUCAGGGAUCAACCUGAAUCUUCAUGGAUACUAGUUGGGUUCAUUAGAGCUGAUCCAUGACGGGAACGCCACUCUGGGUCUGAGUGGGAGGCUCUCCAUUCCAUAUAGCCUUCACUAGUGGUGAUUCUCUCUCUCUGUUACUGUGAAGGAUGGGGAGAGGAUCACUUCAAAGCUAUCUGCAUAUAACUUGGUGCCUGUUACAUGGAGGGAAAACUAGGGAAGAAGGUUUGAAUAUGACUUGAUGUUUCUGUUUGCCAAGUGAGACAACAGUUCCACGGACUGAAGGGCCCUCCCAAAGGACAAGCUUUAUGGGGAAUAAUUGUGCUUGACUUUGGACCCAUGUCUUUGGUCUCACCAGGUGCAGUUAUCUAGGAAGUGGCCAGAUCUGCUUUUUAUGUGAAGAAAGACAUUACACACACGAGCUAGAACUCAAAGGUCAUAUCCAAACAGGGGAUAAUACUGGUUCUACUGCCUCAAGGCAUUGCCAUAAGUAUAAAGUCAAUUGUGACAAGGCUGUGGACUGAGUCUGGAAAUAGAAUAGGACAAUACAUACAAAAGUACCAUUAUACAUGUUACUUUACUAAAAGUAAUAACCAGUAGCUCUAUGUGUUUUUACUGUCACCUUCACAUUUCUGCAGUGUAUUAUUACUCUUUUUGUUCUUAGAAGCACUUUUAUUAUGUUAUUGUCAGACCUAAAGCUAAGAUUUAUUUGGAGAACACCUUUGUCCCUUAGUAAGGAAGUUUUUAGUUUUUCCCUGGGAGGGCCAUAUGUAAUGAUUAAAGUUUAUCUGUAGCAUGAUCUCAAUCUGACUAAAAUCUGGUUCAAUCUUUUUAAAAACCAUUGUUCUUUAAAGUCUGAUGGUAACUUUUAGUUUCAGACAGGACUGAGAAAGCUGGUUACACUUGGAAUUGAAGGAAGGAAAUAAUUUCCCUUUAAACACCACAAAAAUCCCUGAAUAUUACUAAGACUAUAAGGCUUUUUUUUCUACUCAAUUUAUCUGGAGAAACCCUGGUUUGCAUAUUUUUGCAUCUAUUAGCCUGUGCAAUUCAGGUGACUCCCAACUCCAAGUAUGUAUGUAAAAUGAAACAAAUCGACUCUUUGUUUUAACCUGCUGCGAUUCUUGGAUGAACUAUGUGGUAGGUGUGGAAAUUUUUAAGUGCCUUGUAAACUGAAGAAGAAUUCAGGAAAUGUGGAGGUGGGCAUUCAUGGUACCAGCUUGGCCUCCGAGGUAAGGAUGGGGAGGUAAGAAAGGUCUGGGAGAGUAGCAAUAUGGGCACAUACGUCCCUGAGUAUGGGUUUGCAGAGCACCCCCAGCUGAACAAGGGAGAUCCCAGAGGAGGGUUUUAAGACACUUCUAUCUGUAAUCAGGGACUUAGAGUAAGUUUGUGGAGGCAGACCUUGUCCUUGGGACUCUGCACCUUGACAUCACUGUUCUCCUGUGUUAGCCACUUGCCUUCCUUUCAGAGAUCCUCAGGCCUGUCUUAAUUUUAUGCAAAUAUAUAUGGUAAAAAGAUUGCAUAUCUUAUUACUAUUGCAUGUUCUCUAGACACAUUUUGGAAAAGAAAAAAUCUCCCCCAAACUUCUCUUUAUAAUGUAUUUUUGUUUUUCUCUGGUAACUUAUCCAUCGAGCCUUAAGAAAAUACAAUACUAGAGGAGAUUUUCAGUUCUUUGGAAGCCAGUAAACAAACAAAUAUUUUUCCUGGGAGUAGGGAUCAUUGGAACCAUGCAAUUAAACCCCAAAGGCAGUUGUUUCUUUGCCUUCCUUUUGGGCCAGAUUCUAAACCUGCAUUACCCAGUGCAGUGGCCACUCACCACCAUGUGCGGCCACAUGGGCGCGUGGAAUGUGGCUGAAUUGAGGUGUGCUGUCAGUGUAAAAUGCACACUGAUUUGGAAGGCUUCCUAUGAGGAAAAAAAUGUAAAAUUUCCCAUUCAUAAUUUAAAAAUAUUGAUUAGCUAUUGAAAUGUUAAUGUUUUGGAGAUAUUGAGUCAAAUGAACUAUAUUACCAAAAUUAAUUUUCUACUCCUUCUGACUGUUUUUUAAAUGUGGCUCCUGGAAAAUUUUAAAUUAUGCAUGUGACUCACACACCAUUUUCUAUGAGGCAGGACUGCUCCAAAAGAUACGUGUCACUCUUCUUCCUGAUGAGAAACCUGCAGCAAGAGCUGAAAGUCAGAGUCAGUAUUGGGCUGUGGUGAGGAGCCCUUGCUUGCUACCCAUUACUGAUGCUCUAGCUUAUUACUACUAUCUAUAAUUUGAUUAUCCAGUGUCUUGAAAUCAUUUAAUGUGGGUCUUGUUUGCUUUACCUUUCUUUCUGUUCUGCCUAUGUUUCUACUAUAAUUCAGUACAGAGAAAGCCAGUAUCCUCAGCUUCAGGGCCAUGUAAGUAGAUUUUAGUAGAAACAUGAUUUCUUCUGAUGACUAGUAAAAAGGAAUUAGGUUUUGUCAUUUAUUCACUUGGAAUUUUGUCUCACUGAAACCUUGAUACUCUAUUUAACCUACUUCUAGUUGGCAAAUAUCUACUGCCAUGUUAGGUUAUGCUUUUUUUGCUUAAAUUAACUCUUAAAUAAUAUAGCAUAGCAGAUACAGGAGAAUGGGUGGGGGAGAAAAAGUUUCCACUUUUUUUUUUUUAAUACAAGACUGAUUUUAUUAUAUUACUAGGGAAAUAAGUUAGAUUGCUCUGGCAGUCUCAAUAAAUCACACAUGAAGUCGUCUUUUUUUUUCCCUAAAUUAAAUUUUUAUUUAAAUAAAAGUGUUAUGUUUGUAUUUGAGCUGACAGCUAAAUCUGAUAAUUAGAGUGCAUGAAGUUGGCUUUGAUUGGCAUUGUAAUUGGAUUGUCAUUGGGCUGAGAACCUAUUAUCUUUGGAUCAUGCCCCAUGAAAUCUGUUGAAGAAACUUUGCUGCCAGUCAUUAGAGCCACCAUCUUGGCUUACAAAUUAGGUUUGAAAGGCUUCUUACCACUGGGAAUGUAAUUUAAACCACUGCAAUUGCACUCCCAUUAAUUAAAAUUAUAUUAAAAUUAUGGUUCAUUUUCUAAAUAUUUUUUUCGUAUUUUAUUAGACAUACUUAUUACUAAAUGCUUAACAAAUUACAUAGCAGUGCUUAGUAAAAUUAUGUUUCAGAGAUAAUCCAUCUCUUUAGCACAUGCUACUCAGCACCAGUAGAAUUAGUCAGUGUUAAUCAUUAAAAGAUAUACUAUUUAUGUUUUUUCAUUACAAGUUUCAUAAAGAAACAUUUCCAUUAUUUUAACAUAAAAAUGCAAGCCCAGCAAUGUCUACUAUAAAUUAAGAUCGGUCUUGCCGAUAAUGAAAUAUGCAGCUUUGCUGUAAGGAGGUGUCGUCUGCUAUGGUCACAGUUCUUCCUGCUUUAAUUUUUUUUUUUUUCUUUUCUAAAACAAUAGAAGCCUGUAAAACAGAGAAGACUUUUUUUUUUUUUUUUUUUUUUUUGAUAGACGAUUAGUUGGGGGGGGGGGAAGCACGCACACAUGCCAAAAUCUAUGCUGCUCUUUAUUCCUAUUAUUGUCUGCUAAAAGCAGAUCAGAGCUGAUUAAGACAGAAAAAGAGCUUGUGAGGGCUGAGAAUAAGAAUGAGGUGGGGGUUGGUGGUGAGGCUGGUCUGUCCUAGCUGGUGGAGAAGGAUGUGUGUGUCCCGGGGCCCCCAGCACCUCCUCCCUGGCACCUACCCUCUUCUCUCUGGGCACAGAAGCCCAGGUACUCAUGGGCAAAUGCUGCCAUCAAGGAUGUGGAUGUGAAGCACUCAGAGGCAUACUUUCUGAGAUUCAGAAUUAGGCAGAGAUUCUUAGGUGUGCUUCUCUUGUUUUAUAUCAUUUCUUUUCCUUUUUGCAAUUGAUGUUUGAUUGUUCAAGAACAUCUCCCCACUCCUCAAUUUCUUUCUAACCUUGGGGUGACAGUUUGGAAACUUGGAUAAAAAACUCUGAGGGGAUUUAAAAGUAUAAAACAAAGUUUUCAAGUCUGUUCUAAUAUUAUUUGGAUUGUAUUAAACAUCUGUACUCUCCUCUGCCCACCUGAGUAGUCCCUCUCAGUUGUUUUUACCUGGCACCUAUUUCCAUUGUUGUUUCUGUCGCUAGUGUUUUUCUCAGUAUCUGACAUGUAACUGAUGCUUAAAAAAUGUUAAGUUGAGGAGUUCCCGUCGUGGCGCAGUAGUUAACGAAUCCGACUAGGAACCAUGAGGUUACGGGUUCAGUCCCUGCCCCUGCUCAGUGGGUUGACGAUCCGGCGUUGCCGUGAGCUGUGAUGUAGGUUGCAGACGCGGCUCGGAUCCUGCGUUGCUGUGGCUCUGGCGUAGGCCAGUGGCUACAGCUCCGAUUCAACCCCUAGCCUGGGAAACUCCAUAUGCCGCGGGAGCGGCCCAAGAAACAGCAAAAAGACAAAAAAAAAAAAAAAAAAAGUUAAGUUAAAUUGAAUUGCAUUAAAUAGUCUACUUUCUAAAUAUGCUAGGUUUAGCUAGAGGCAGAUCCCGAGUAAGUUAAGGUCCUCACAUAGGGAUGACAAGGAAUAGGUGAUAAAGUGCUUUCAUAAUUUAUUUACUGGCUCUAUUAUUUGGCCUUUUGGGGUGAAUUCUGCUACCUGCUUUUCCAAUCCCCUUUCAUUAAUAGAUGAGGAUACUGAGGGUCGGAGGGCUGAGAGUUCAAGGUCACAUGGUUACUGAAUAAGUACCAGAGCUGGGACUAUACCUCUGAGCUUCUGUCUUUAAGCUCAGGACUCUGUCCAUUCCCCCAGGACACCUGCUGUAAAAAAGGACUGUGUCCCAAGUGAUCGAGGGUUGUUCUCGCCUUCACUUUUACUUAUGGGUGGGAGAGGAGCUUAGAAGACAAUCAGCAAUUUGGAAAAAAAUUCUCAAGAAUGUUUGGGCCCUAUGACCCAUAGACACCCUUUCUAGAAAUAUUUUCUAAAGGCGUAAUCAAUGAUGAGUUAUUUAAUCACAGCCAACUUUUAUUGGCUGCUCAAAAUGAGGCAGGCACGGUGCUCAGCACUUUACAUAUAUUUUCUCGCUUAUACACAGAACAGGCCGAUGAGCUGUGUUCUUACAAUUACUCUCCCCUGAAACAGAUGGCAAAAUGAGGCAUGAGAGGAUUUUGUAAAAUAGGUCCAAGCGUCCAAGUUACACAGCUAUUUAGGAUUUGGAGCCAUUCUGAACCUAAAGCUCUUCCUCUCCACUGAUGUGCUCAUGGCUCAGUCACUGCAGUGACGCCUAAAGCAGAGAAAGCUCGGAAGCAAUCUGAAAGCCUGGCAAUAGGGAAUCCUUU
RNAcentral lists this long non-coding RNA (5631 nucleotides) under Sus scrofa (pig). RNAcentral's name for it is "lncRNA (ENSSSCG00000055864.1)". Lineage: Eukaryota; Metazoa; Chordata; Mammalia; Artiodactyla; Suidae. The record is from RNAcentral.